This 243-nucleotide long non-coding RNA is filed under the name Elaeis guineensis (African oil palm). RNAcentral describes it as "long non-coding RNA (EGUI_LNC060091)". Lineage: Eukaryota; Viridiplantae; Streptophyta; Magnoliopsida; Arecales; Arecaceae. The record is from RNAcentral.
AUGUGUCAAUAAUGGUUGAUUCCUAAAUUAUUUCUGAUCAUAGGAUCAUCAUAGGGAUGAUGAUUAAUCCGGAUAGACCAGUACACGGAUCACUUCCUUCGGACAGAUAAAUCUUGAUUCUGCAGUGUAGAGACACUAGAGCGAGAGUGCAGAUGGUUAUUGGAGAACAACUAGCACUGAACGUAACCAACAUGAGAAGUCAUAUGAAUAUCUGCUCACUUGUUAGUGACUUUCUCGAUGCUG